AGCGAACGCUGGCGGCAGGCCUAACACAUGCAAGUCGAACGAACUCUUCGGAGUUAGUGGCGGAUGGGGGAGUAACACGUGGGAACGUGCCUUUAGGUUCGGAAUAACUCAGUGUAAUUUGUGCUAAUACCGAAUGUGCCCUUCGGGGGAAAGAUUUAUCGUCCUUAGAGCGGCCCGCGUCCGAUUAGCUAGUUGGUGAGGUAAAGGCCCACCAAGGCGACGAUCAGUAGCUGGUUUGAGAGGAUGAUCAGCCACAUUGGGACUGAGACACGGCCCAAACUCCUACGGGAGGCAGCAGUGGCGAAUCUUGCGCAAUGGGCGAAAGCCUGACGCAGCCAUGCCGCGUAAAUGAUGAAGGUCGUAGGAUAGUAAAAUUCUUUCACCGGGGACGUUAAUGACGGUACCCGGAGAAGAAGCCCCGGCUAACUUCGUG
Molecule: ribosomal RNA, 433 nt
Filed under: uncultured bacterium
Lineage: Bacteria
Description: partial 16S ribosomal RNA
Rfam family: Bacterial small subunit ribosomal RNA
Source: RNAcentral